Molecule: ribosomal RNA, 446 nt
Filed under: uncultured bacterium
Lineage: Bacteria
Description: bacterial SSU rRNA
Rfam family: Bacterial small subunit ribosomal RNA
Source: RNAcentral
CCCAGACUCCUACGGGAGGCAGCAGUGGGGAAUAUUGCACAAUGGGGGAAACCCUGAUGCAGCGACGCCGCGUGAGUGAUGAAGUAUUUCGGUAUGUAAAGCUCUAUCAGCAGGGAAGAUAAUGACGGUACCUGACUAAGAAGCUCCGGCUAAAUACGUGCCAGCAGCCGCGGUAAUACGUAUGGAGCAAGCGUUAUCCGGAUUUACUGGGUGUAAAGGGAGCGCAGACGGCAGGGCAAGUCUGGAGUGAAAUCCCGGGGCUUAACCCCGGAACUGCUUUGGAAACUGUGCGGCUGGAGUGCAGGAGGGGUAAGCGGAAUUCCUAGUGUAGCGGUGAAAUGCGUAGAUAUUAGGAGGAACACCGGUGGCGAAGGCGGCUUACUGGACUGUAACUGACGUUGAGGCUCGAAAGCGUGGGGAGCAAACAGGAUUAGAUACCCGCGUAU